UGGUUCUGGCAUNGAUGAAGAACGCAGCGAAAUGCGAUAAGUAAUGUGAAUUGCAGAAUUCAGUGAAUCAUCGAAUCUUUGAACGCACAUUGCGCCCCUUGGUAUUCCGAGGGGCAUGCCUGUUCGAGCGUCAUUACAACCCUCAAGCACUGCUUGGUUUUGGGCUUGGUUCUCAUCAGCCGGCCUUAAAAAUAGUGGCGGUGCCGUGCGGCUCUAAGCGUAGUAAAUCUCUCGCUCUAGGGACGUGUGAGCUCUUGCCAUAGACCCAAAUUUUCUAUGGUUGACCUCGGAUCAGGUAGGGAUACCCGCUGA
This 312-nucleotide unclassified non-coding RNA is filed under the name uncultured fungus. RNAcentral's name for it is "partial contains 5.8S ribosomal RNA and internal transcribed spacer 2". The stretch from base 1 to 133 matches the Rfam family "5.8S ribosomal RNA", at positions 22 to 154 of the family's 154-position model. The record is from RNAcentral. Lineage: Eukaryota; Fungi.